Molecule: ribosomal RNA, 1218 nt
Filed under: Microbacterium paraoxydans
Lineage: Bacteria; Bacillati; Actinomycetota; Actinomycetes; Micrococcales; Microbacteriaceae
Description: bacterial SSU rRNA
Rfam family: Bacterial small subunit ribosomal RNA
Source: RNAcentral
CGGCCUAUCAGCUUGUUGGUGAGGUAAUGGCUCACCAAGGCGUCGACGGGUAGCCGGCCUGAGAGGGUGACCGGCCACACUGGGACUGAGACACGGCCCAGACUCCUACGGGAGGCAGCAGUGGGGAAUAUUGCACAAUGGGCGGAAGCCUGAUGCAGCAACGCCGCGUGAGGGAUGACGGCCUUCGGGUUGUAAACCUCUUUUAGCAGGGAAGAAGCGAAAGUGACGGUACCUGCAGAAAAAGCGCCGGCUAACUACGUGCCAGCAGCCGCGGUAAUACGUAGGGCGCAAGCGUUAUCCGGAAUUAUUGGGCGUAAAGAGCUCGUAGGCGGUUUGUCGCGUCUGCUGUGAAAUCCCGAGGCUCAACCUCGGGCCUGCAGUGGGUACGGGCAGACUAGAGUGCGGUAGGGGAGAUUGGAAUUCCUGGUGUAGCGGUGGAAUGCGCAGAUAUCAGGAGGAACACCGAUGGCGAAGGCAGAUCUCUGGGCCGUAACUGACGCUGAGGAGCGAAAGGGUGGGGAGCAAACAGGCUUAGAUACCCUGGUAGUCCACCCCGUAAACGUUGGGAACUAGUUGUGGGGUCCAUUCCACGGAUUCCGUGACGCAGCUAACGCAUUAAGUUCCCCGCCUGGGGAGUACGGCCGCAAGGCUAAAACUCAAAGGAAUUGACGGGGACCCGCACAAGCGGCGGAGCAUGCGGAUUAAUUCGAUGCAACGCGAAGAACCUUACCAAGGCUUGACAUAUACGAGAACGGGCCAGAAAUGGUCAACUCUUUGGACACUCGUAAACAGGUGGUGCAUGGUUGUCGUCAGCUCGUGUCGUGAGAUGUUGGGUUAAGUCCCGCAACGAGCGCAACCCUCGUUCUAUGUUGCCAGCACGUAAUGGUGGGAACUCAUGGGAUACUGCCGGGGUCAACUCGGAGGAAGGUGGGGAUGACGUCAAAUCAUCAUGCCCCUUAUGUCUUGGGCUUCACGCAUGCUACAAUGGCCGGUACAAAGGGCUGCAAUACCGUGAGGUGGAGCGAAUCCCAAAAAGCCGGUCCCAGUUCGGAUUGAGGUCUGCAACUCGACCUCAUGAAGUCGGAGUCGCUAGUAAUCGCAGAUCAGCAACGCUGCGGUGAAUACGUUCCCGGGUCUUGUACACACCGCCCGUCAAGUCAUGAAAGUCGGUAACACCUGAAGCCGGUGGCCUAACCCUUGUGGAGGGAGCCGUCGAAG